AUAAUGGCCUCUUUUUUCCUGUAUUUUAUCCCUUACAAUAUGGCAUGAAAGAGAGCAUUAUCCAAUCCUAGAGAAUGUCUGGGGCAUCAGAAUUUGGUGACUUGUUCACAGCUGCAUAGAAAAUCUAUAGUUAGAAGUGGACUGAAAUAUCCUGAAUUAGUAAGUUUCCAUGUGACCAGCACUCAGAACAGUGGGCGAGGGCUCAGUCCAGUGGAGUAGGAUUCAGACCUGUGGGUGAGGGCCCCUGCUGCUGCCCCAGGCCCAGUGCCUGUGCUGUUAGGAUGGUAUAUAAGUGUGGUUGGCUAGGAUAUACUAGGGCUACGAAUUCAUAAGAACAGUCUAUAUUUUGCUCACCUGACCCUUCCUUAAAACCAUGGGGACAUUUCAAGACUGCUGUCUCUGAUAUUUUUGCCACUAUUAUAAUGCUGUCCAUUAGGCAAAGAGUGCUUGAGACACUGUCUUAGUCCAUGUGUGCUCCUAGAACAAUGUAUCAUACACAGGUAGCUUAUAAAUAACAGGAGCAUAUUCCUCACAGUUCUGGAGGCUGGCAGUCCAAUAUCAAGGCAGGCUGGGUGUUUGGUGAAGCUCCCCUUCCUCAUAGAUGGUGCUUUCUCUCUUGAGUCCUCACAGGGGCCCACCUUCCUCACAGAUGGCGCUUUCUCACUGAGUCCUCACAUGGGGCCCGCCUUCCUCACAGAUGGCACUUUCUUACUGAGUCCUCACGUGGGGCCCCCCUUCCUCAUAGAUGGCGCUUUCCCACUGAGUACUCACACGAGGCCCGCCUUCCUCAUAGAUGGCGCUUUCUCACUGAGUCCUCACACGAAGGCCCCCUUCCUCAUAGAUGGCGCUUUCUCACUGAGUCCUCACUCGAGGCCCCCCUUCCUCAUAGAUGGCGCUUUCCCACUGAGUCCUCACACGAGGCCCCCCUUCCUCAUAGAUGGCGCUUUCUCACUGAGUCCUCACAUGAGGGCCCCCUUCCUCAUAGAUGGCGCUUUCUCACUGAGUCCUCACACGAGGCCCCCCUUCCUCAUAGAUGGCGCUUUCUCACUGAAUCC
This 1055-nucleotide long non-coding RNA is filed under the name Pan troglodytes (chimpanzee). RNAcentral describes it as "long non-coding RNA NONPTRT009898". The record is from RNAcentral. Lineage: Eukaryota; Metazoa; Chordata; Mammalia; Primates; Hominidae.